ACUAUUUUGGCAGAUAAGUGCGUUGAAUUUAGAUUUCAUUUAUGUAAUUUUUAUUUAUUACAAAUAGUA
This 69-nucleotide transfer RNA is filed under the name Diestramima tibetensis. RNAcentral's name for it is "tRNA-Leu". Lineage: Eukaryota; Metazoa; Arthropoda; Insecta; Orthoptera; Rhaphidophoridae. The record is from RNAcentral.